This 253-nucleotide ribosomal RNA is filed under the name uncultured bacterium. RNAcentral describes it as "partial 16S ribosomal RNA". It matches the Rfam family "Bacterial small subunit ribosomal RNA", at positions 524 to 776 of the family's 1533-position model. The record is from RNAcentral.
UACAUGGGGUGCAAACGUUGCUCGGAAUUAUUGGGCGUAAAGCGCGCGUAGGCGGUUACUUAAGUCGGAUGUGAAAGCCCUCGGCUUAACUGAGGAAGUGCACCCGAAACUGAGUAGCUAGAGUACGAAAGAGGGUCGCGGAAUUCCCGGUGUAGAGGUGAAAUUCGUAGAUAUCGGGAGGAACACCGGUGGCGAAGGCGGCUCUCUGGGACGGUACUGACGCUGAGACGCGAAAGCGUGGGGAGCGAACAGG